AUGAGUGGCGAACGGGCGAGUAACACGUGAGUAACCUGCCCUCUUCUUUGGGAUAACGCCCGGAAACGGGUGCUAAUACUGGAUAUUCACUGGCCUUCGCAUGGGGGUUGGUGGAAAGGUUUGUUCUGGUGGGGGAUGGGCUCGCGGCCUAUCAGCUUGUUGGUGGGGUGAUGGCCUACCAAGGCUUUGACGGGUAGCCGGCCUGAGAGGGUGACCGGUCACAUUGGGACUGAGAUACGGCCCAG
RNAcentral lists this ribosomal RNA (245 nucleotides) under uncultured bacterium. RNAcentral's name for it is "partial 16S ribosomal RNA". It matches the Rfam family "Bacterial small subunit ribosomal RNA", at positions 91 to 334 of the family's 1533-position model. The record is from RNAcentral.